This 443-nucleotide ribosomal RNA is filed under the name uncultured bacterium. RNAcentral's name for it is "partial 16S ribosomal RNA". It matches the Rfam family "Bacterial small subunit ribosomal RNA", at positions 338 to 795 of the family's 1533-position model. The record is from RNAcentral.
CCUACGUGCGGCAGCAGUGGGGAAUAUUGGGCAAUGGGCGCAAGCCUGACCCAGCAACGCCGCGUGAAGGAAGAAGGCUUUCGGGUUGUAAACUUCUUUUGUCAGGGACGAAGCAAGUGACGGUACCUGACGAAUAAGCCACGGCUAACUACGGGCCAGCAGCCGCGGUAAUACGUAGGUGGCAAGCGUUAUCCGGAUUUAUUGGGUGUAAAGGGCGUGUAGGCGGGAAUGCAAGUGAGAUGUGAAAACUAUGGGCUCAACCCAUAGCCUGCAUUUGAAACUGUAUGUCUUGAGUGCUGGAGAGGCAAGCGGAAGUCCGGGUGUAGCGGUGAAAUGCGUAGAUAUACGGAGGAACACCAGUGGCGAAGGCGGAUUGCUGGACAGUAACUGACGCUGAGGCGCGAAAGCGUGGGGAGCAAACAGGAUUAGAUACCCCAGUAGUC